RNAcentral lists this ribosomal RNA (254 nucleotides) under Enterobacter hormaechei. RNAcentral's name for it is "partial 23S ribosomal RNA". It matches the Rfam family "Bacterial large subunit ribosomal RNA", at positions 159 to 451 of the family's 2925-position model. The record is from RNAcentral. Lineage: Bacteria; Pseudomonadati; Pseudomonadota; Gammaproteobacteria; Enterobacterales; Enterobacteriaceae.
UGAAUACAUAGGUUAACGAGGCGAACCGGGGGAACUGAAACAUCUAAGUACCCCGAGGAAAAGAAAUCAACCGAGAUUCCCCCAGUAGCGGCGAGCGAACGGGGAGCAGCCCGGAGUCUGAAUCAGCUUGUGUGUUAGUGGAACGGUCUGGAAAGUCCGACGGUACAGGGUGAUAGUCCCGUACACGAAAAUGCACAUGCUGUGAACUCGAAGAGUAGGGCGGGACACGUGGUAUCCUGUCUGAAUAUGGGGGG